AGCGCCUCCGACCCGGGGCCGCGCGGUCACCGCCCUCGGCCGGACGGCCAAAGGUAGCCGCCCCUCUCCCCAAGAUGCACAGUGGGGUGAGCGUUCGGUGCAGCUGUUGAAGACACCGCGUGGGACGUCCACAUCCCAUGUUGGAGUGCCUCGGUUGUGAGUCCCAGCUCUGCUUUGCUGCUGUGUACCCAGGGAAACAGCAGUGUGCUGCGGUGCCUUAUGCUGAAAGUUGUUCUCCUUCUCUCACUGGCGUCCAGAGUUCGCCCAUCCAAGAAAUCCAGUCCCUGCCGGGGGAGGUCACAGCAGCUGUUCCAGACCAGUCACUCUGCACCACACAUGGUGGAGCAAUUUCGUCCUUUGCUUAUUCACUCCCCUGACAUUCAGGUGGUGGCUUUGGCGAAUGCUUCAUUGAGUAGGCGAGUUCCCAGUUUGGUCACUGGAUUUUGGAGCCAUGCUGUCUGAAUUAAUUUUGGUGAUCCUAUCUCCUAUUGAGUCUUCCAUUUUGUGGAAGGUAGGAAGUUACACUUCCUAUGCUCAGGGUGUACCUGUUUGGGAUCCAUCAAUGCAAAUGGCUCCAUGUCACCAGUGUUUUCCUCUCCCAGCCCCUCCACUUUGACCAAGAGCCCCCUUCUUUGCUGCACUUGAUAAAGUACACAUUUCAUCGUCAAAAUAAAAAUUUAUUC
Molecule: long non-coding RNA, 683 nt
Organism: Lepus europaeus (European hare)
Lineage: Eukaryota; Metazoa; Chordata; Mammalia; Lagomorpha; Leporidae
Exons: 3
Source: RefSeq, a predicted model, not a curated record